Molecule: ribosomal RNA, 123 nt
Filed under: Pogona vitticeps (central bearded dragon)
Lineage: Eukaryota; Metazoa; Chordata; Lepidosauria; Squamata; Agamidae
Source: RNAcentral
CCCUAAAGGGACACCAUUAGUUUCCACCACACCACCUUCAUCUGAUUUUGGGAACUAAGCGAAGUCAGGCCUGGUCGGUACUUGGAUGGGAGACUGCCAGGGGAGACCAGCGAUCUCCAGGGA